Molecule: ribosomal RNA, 497 nt
Filed under: uncultured bacterium
Lineage: Bacteria
Description: partial 16S ribosomal RNA
Rfam family: Bacterial small subunit ribosomal RNA
Source: RNAcentral
GAUGAACGCUGGCGGCGUGCCUAAUACAUGCAAGUCGAGCGAACGGACGAGAAGCUUGCUUCUCUGAUGUUAGCGGCGGACGGGUGAGUAACACGUGGAUAACCUACCUAUAAGACUGGGAUAACUUCGGGAAACCGGAGCUAAUACCGGAUAAUAUUUUGAACCGCAUGGUUCAAAAGUGAAAGACGGUCUUGCUGUCACUUAUAGAUGGAUCCGCGCUGCAUUAGCUAGUUGGUAAGGUAACGGCUUACCAAGGCAACGAUGCAUAGCCGACCUGAGAGGGUGAUCGGCCACACUGGAACUGAGACACGGUCCAGACUCCUACGGGAGGCAGCAGUAGCGAAUCUUCCGCAAUGGGCGAAAGCCUGACGGAGCAACGCCGCGUGAGUUAUGAAGGUCUUCGGAUCGUAAAACUCUGUUAUUAGGGAAGAACAUAUGUGUAAGUAACUGUGCACAUCUUGACGGUACCUAAUCAGAAAGCCACGGCUAACUACGUG